Molecule: ribosomal RNA, 159 nt
Filed under: Aquaticheirospora lignicola
Lineage: Eukaryota; Fungi; Ascomycota; Dothideomycetes; Pleosporales; Massarinaceae
Description: Aquaticheirospora sp. RK-2006a 5.8S ribosomal RNA
Rfam family: 5.8S ribosomal RNA
About the family: 5.8S ribosomal RNA (5.8S rRNA) is a component of the large subunit of the eukaryotic ribosome. It is transcribed by RNA polymerase I as part of the 45S precursor that also contains 18S and 28S rRNA. Functionally, it is thought that 5.8S rRNA may be involved in ribosome translocation.
Source: RNAcentral
ACUUUCAACAAUGGAUCUCUUGGUUCUGGCAUCGAUGAAGAACGCAGCGAAAUGCGAUAAGUAGUGUGAAUUGCAGACUUUAGUGAAUCAUCGAAUCUUUGAACGCACAUUGCGCCCCUUGGUAUUCCAUUGGGCAUGCCUGUUCGAGCGUCAUUUCAC